GAUGAAGAACGUAGCGAAAUGCGAUACGUAAUGUGAAUUGCAGAUUUUAGUGAAUCAUCGAAUCUUUGAACGCACAUUGCGCCCGCCAGUAUUCUGGCGGGCAUGCCUGUUCGAGCGUCAUUUCAACCAUCAAGCCUUCGCUUGUGUUGGGGCCCCGCGGCUGCCGCGGCCCCCUAAAUCCAGUGGCGGGCUCGUCGUCGUACCGAGCGCAGUAGACAUCCUCACUCCGGGAACCCGACGGGUGCCGGCCGUGAAACCCCCCCCAUCAAGGUUGACCUCGGAUCAGGUAGGAAUACCCGCUGAACUUAAGCAUAUCAAUAAGCGGAGGA
This 329-nucleotide unclassified non-coding RNA is filed under the name soil metagenome. Its description in RNAcentral is "partial contains 5.8S ribosomal RNA, internal transcribed spacer 2, and large subunit ribosomal RNA". The stretch from base 1 to 120 matches the Rfam family "5.8S ribosomal RNA", at positions 35 to 154 of the family's 154-position model. The record is from RNAcentral.